RNAcentral lists this transfer RNA (67 nucleotides) under Schistosoma mansoni. Lineage: Eukaryota; Metazoa; Platyhelminthes; Trematoda; Strigeidida; Schistosomatidae. The record is from RNAcentral.
CAAUGGCCGAGUGGAUAACGCGAUGGUGUUUGAAGCGAACGGUACUGGGUUCGAGUCCCAGAGUGAA